GGGCUGCAGAACCUUCCGCCGGAGAAGAUGUCUCACGUCUUGCACAUCGUUCGGAAGGGGAACGUGAGCACAACGCAGAACGGGGACGAGAUCGAGCUGGACAUCGACACCAUGGACACGGAGACGCUUUGGGCGCUCGAUCGGUUCCUGUGCAACUGCAAGAAGAUGAUGAGCAAGAUGAAGAGGCAGGAGGCGAUCGCCAACGGGCUGCUGCUACAUGCUGGCCAUUCCGCCGCAGUUGCCGACGCCCAACUUCCAGCUGAAGGCGGUGGCGAGAUGGUAAUGGCUAGGAUCCUCUCUCUCUUGGUCUCUGCUCGAUGGAUGAAGCCUCGGAGUACUAACCUGGUCAUGCUAUUGGGCAGUCUCCGGUGCUGGUGGAUGCGUCAGAAGUAGUUGCAGCGAAAAAGAGCAAGAAAGGAGACACCGCCGAGGAGGAUGUCGACAUUGGU
This 449-nucleotide long non-coding RNA is filed under the name Musa acuminata (dwarf banana). RNAcentral's name for it is "long non-coding RNA (MACU_LNC001024)". Lineage: Eukaryota; Viridiplantae; Streptophyta; Magnoliopsida; Zingiberales; Musaceae. The record is from RNAcentral.